CCCGUCUCCUCCUCUUGCUCCCUCGGCCGGGCGGCGGUGACUGUGCACCGACGUCGGCGCGGGCUGCACCGCCGCGUCCGCACGCCCGCCAGCAUGGCCACCACCGCCACCUGCACCCGCUUCACCGACGACUACCAGCUCUUCGAGGAGCUUGGCAAGGGAUGAUACCCUCUUUUUAAUCUUUCCUUCCCCGACCUUCAACUGUUCCUGCUGAGAGAAGGGCAGGGUCUCUCUGCUCCCUUCUGCCCUGGUUCCCUUGGCCGGGACCGCAGGGCUGUCUGAGAUGCAGCAGGGGUGCUUUCUCUGUGGUCCGCAGGUGUGUGAAGAAAACCUCCACGCAGGAGUACGCAGCAAAAAUCAUCAAUACCAAGAAGUUGUCUGCCCGGGAUCACCAGAAACUAGAACGUGAGGCUCGGAUAUGUCGACUUCUGAAACAUCCAAACAUCGCCACUGUAUACAUCAGAUUCUGGAGAGUGUUAACCACAUCCACCAGCAUGACAUCGUCCACAGGGACCUGAAGCCUGAGAACCUGCUGCUGGCGAGUAAAUGCAAGGGUGCUGCCGUCAAGCUGGCUGAUUUUGGCCUAGCCAUCGAAGUACAGGGAGAGCAGCAGGCUUGGUUUGGUUUUGCUGGCACCCCAGGUUACUUGUCCCCUGAGGUCUUGAGGAAAGAUCCCUAUGGAAAACCUGUGGAUAUCUGGGCCUGCGGGGUCAUCCUGUAUAUCCUCCUGGUGGGCUAUCCUCCCUUCUGGGAUGAGGAUCAGCACAAGCUGUAUCAGCAGAUCAAGGCUGGAGCCUAUGAUUUCCCAUCACCAGAAUGGGACACGGUAACUCCUGAAGCCAAGAACUUGAUCAACCAGAUGCUGACCAUAAACCCAGCAAAGCGCAUCACGGCUGACCAGGCUCUCAAGCACCCGUGGGUCUGUCAACGAUCCACGGUGGCAUCCAUGAUGCAUCGUCAGGAGACUGUGGAGUGUUUGCGCAAGUUCAAUGCCCGGAGAAAACUGAAGGGUGCCAUCCUCACGACCAUGCUUGUCUCCAGGAACUUCUCAGUUGGCAGGCAGAGCUCCGCCCCCGCCUCGCCUGCCGCGAGCGCCGCCGGCCUGGCCGGGCAAGCUGCCAAAAGCCUAUUGAACAAGAAGUCGGAUGGCGGUGUCAAGCCACAGAGCAACAACAAAAACAGUCUCGUAAGCCCAGCCCAAGAGCCCGCGCCCUUGCAGACGGCCAUGGAGCCACAAACCACUGUGGUACACAACGCUACAGAUGGGAUCAAGGGCUCCACAGAGAGCUGCAACACAACCACAGAAGAUGAGGACCUCAAAGCUGCCCCGCUCCGCACUGGGAAUGGCAACUCGGUGCCUGAAGGACGGAGCUCCCGGGACAGAACAGCCCCCUCUGCAGGCAUGCAGCCCCAGCCUUCUCUCUGCUCCUCAGCCAUUACAUCUGUGCUGGAGGAUGCCUUUGUCUGCUGUUUUUCCUCCCACCAUCUAUCCUUGCAGAGUUUCUAAGCACAACCCUCUUCGCCCGUGGGGCCCCAGUCAGGUCAUCCAGAUGGGUCUGGUGGGGUUGGAGAGGGUGUGUGUGUUGUGGGUGCACACCUGCCUGCUGCUUUAGGAAGCUGAUCGAACUCCUUGCUUCCCUUAACCUGCUGCUUGCUCACCUGGAGCUGUGGCCUAGCGGGGCUGAUGGCUGUGGGGCCCCCUCCUGGACGUGCCUUUGGCUGCACUGCCCUGUUCCUACUGUGCUGCUUGGCUGUGCUGGCCCGGCCAGGCCGUGGUGGUGCUGUUCUAAUGCUUGCAGUUGUCUUGCAGCCUUUUGCUCCUGUGAGGAAAGGGUUGUGGCCUGGCCCAGCCCAGGGCUCGGGUUAGGGUAAGUCCAAGCUCAACCCAAGCUCUCCCUUACCCUGGUGGCAGCCCCUGCUGAUAGUGGCAUUCCCUAUAAGAGAAGCCUAUGCCGGCAGGACAUCACCAGCUGUCUCUUGGCUUGGGAUGGGUUGGGGAGGAGGGCUCUGGAGGGCACCACCUCUGCCUGCCUGUCAGUCUGAGCCCUGUCUGGUUUUCCUGAGGAACACGUCCUGGCAUGAGAGCUGGCAUGAAAUGUGCAGCUUUCCCAAGCCUCGAGACUGCGAAAACAGGAGAUCAUUAAGAUUACAGAACAGCUGAUUGAAGCCAUCAACAAUGGGGACUUUGAGGCCUACACGAAGAUUUGUGAUCCAGGCCUCACUUCCUUUGAGCCUGAGGCCCUUGGUAACCUCGUGGAGGGGAUGGAUUUCCAUAAGUUUUACUUUGAGAAUCUCCUGUCCAAGAACAGCAAGCCUAUCCAUACCACCAUCCUAAACCCACACGUCCACGUGAUUGGGGAGGACGCAGCGUGCAUCGCCUACAUCCGCCUCACCCAGUACAUCGACGGGCAGGGUCGGCCUCGCACCAGCCAGUCAGAAGAGACCCGGGUCUGGCACCGUCGGGAUGGCAAGUGGCUCAAUGUCCACUAUCACUGCUCAGGGGCCCCUGCCGCACCGCUGCAGUGAGCUCAGCCACAGGGGCAUUAGGAGAUUCCAGCCAGAGGUCGAACCUUCGCAGCCAGUGGCUCUGGAGGGCCUGAGUGACAGCGGCAGUCCUGUUUGUUUGAG
Molecule: small RNA, 2628 nt
Filed under: Pongo abelii (Sumatran orangutan)
Lineage: Eukaryota; Metazoa; Chordata; Mammalia; Primates; Hominidae
Description: processed transcript
Source: RNAcentral